CCUGGAAAAACACUCAGCCAGCACUCCUAGUACAGCCUCACUGCCUGGACAGAGAGGAAUUGUCACCUCCUGUUCAUACAUGUGAAACUCUGGGUGAUUGUUCAGGGCAAGUGAUGCGUGCAGUUGCUUGCAGGGAUUUCUGGCUACAGAUUGCAUCAGGUGCACCUAGGGUCCCAUCGGUUAACACCUCACAGAGCUCUAUAAAUACUGGGACACUCUGUCUCCAUCUGGUAAACAACCUCCAUCUCACUCUGCCUGGUGCCUCUUCUCUGCAGUGACACUGAGAUCCCAGCCGACCUUCAGCCAUGAAGAUCCUGUACCUGCUCUUUGCUGUUGUCCUUCUCCUCUUCCAAGCUGCUCCAGGGUCUGGUAAAGAGUCAAGGAUCCCUUCCUGUAGGUUCCUGGGAGGUUACUGCAUAAGGCCUAGGCAGCGCUGUCACUCAGGACAGUUUCUGAAUGGAUCAUGUGGUCCGAGAGAGAGAUGCUGCAAAAGAUAGAGACCAUGCUGAGCUGCACAUGGGGGGCCUCGGAUCGACCAAAAAGAUGUUUGCUCCCCUCUUUUCAAUAAAGACAAGCUGUUAAAUCAUA
This is a long non-coding RNA of Malaclemys terrapin pileata, 588 nucleotides long. RefSeq lists it as uncharacterized. The transcript has 2 exons. Lineage: Eukaryota; Metazoa; Chordata; Testudines; Emydidae. The record is from RefSeq and is a predicted model, not a curated record.